AUUGAACGCUGGCGGCAGGCCUAACACAUGCAAGUCGAGCGGAUGAAGGGAGCUUGCUCCUGGAUUCAGCGGCGGACGGGUGAGUAAUGCCUAGGAAUCUGCCUGGUAGUGGGGGAUAACGUCCGGAAACGGGCGCUAAUACCGCAUACGUCCUGAGGGAGAAAGAGGGGGAUCUUCGGACCUCACGCUAUCAGAUGAGCCUAGGUCGGAUUAGCUAGUUGGUGGGGUAAAGGCCUACCAAGGCGACGAUCCGUAACUGGUCUGAGAGGAUGAGCAGUCACACUGGAACUGAGACACGGUCCAGACUCCUACGGGAGGCAGCAGUGGGGAAUAUUGGACAAUGGGCGAAAGCCUGAUCCAGCCAUGCCGCGUGUGUGAAGAAGGUCUUCGGAUUGUAAAGCACUUUAAGUUGGGAGGAAGGGCAGUAAGUUAAUACCUUGCUGUUUUGACGUUACCAACAGAAUAAGCACCGGCUAACUUCGUG
Molecule: ribosomal RNA, 484 nt
Filed under: uncultured bacterium
Lineage: Bacteria
Description: partial 16S ribosomal RNA
Rfam family: Bacterial small subunit ribosomal RNA
Source: RNAcentral